UACAGAGGUCUCAAGCGUUGUUCGGAUUCAUUGGGCGUAAAGAGCGUGUAGGCGGUCCGGUCAGUCGGUUGUGAAAGUCAAGGGCUCAACCCUUGAAUGUCGAUGGAUACUGCCGGGCUAGAGUCCGGAAGAGGCGAGUGGAAUUCCUGGUGUAGCGGUGGAAUGCGCAGAUAUCAGGAGGAACACCAAUAGCGAAGGCAGCUCGCUGGGACGGUACUGACGCUAAGGCGCGAAAGCGUGGGGAGCGAACAGG
Molecule: ribosomal RNA, 253 nt
Filed under: uncultured bacterium
Lineage: Bacteria
Description: partial 16S ribosomal RNA
Rfam family: Bacterial small subunit ribosomal RNA
Source: RNAcentral